UAUAUUUUAGUGUGUAAGCACAUAAAUUUUUGAACUUUAUAGAAAUAAGUUAAAUUAUUAAAUAUAA
RNAcentral lists this transfer RNA (67 nucleotides) under Megaspilidae sp. SJW-2015. Its description in RNAcentral is "tRNA-Gln". The record is from RNAcentral. RNAcentral also lists the same sequence under 1 other name. Lineage: Eukaryota; Metazoa; Arthropoda; Insecta; Hymenoptera; Megaspilidae.